GGAGGAGGAGCACAUGGAGGGGGACGAGGAGGAGGACAAGGUGGAGGCUGAGGAGGGGGCGUCAGGAGGUGAGCGGGUGGUGUGGUUGCGUGGACCGUUGCAACUCCCGUGACGUCCGAUACCUCUAGCGAGAUGCCCGAUGAUUCGGCCACUAGAGCCUAAGGGUGGUUUUUUGUGCAGCCUGGUGAGCACAAACGGAAGCCCAAUGGUAUCUUGGGUCUUUUGUGCCAGCUGCACUUCUCCGGGCUCGUGAUGCAUGCUGGGGGACCUGGAGCCGGCAUACAUGUGGGAUCACUACAUGGCCAGCCCAGACGCUACUGAUCGCGAAGGAAGGAACUUCACCACCAAAGCGAGGCGGGUGGUCGGGGAGUUGUGGGAUUUCUACAGGUGUGAGGAAGGCUAUGAGGCCCGGGCGAACGAGCAGGCUCACGAGGCUUGCUACAAGCUGGUGAAGGACAUGCACUACGAGGCGCGUGUCCAAGCCGUCGUUGUAUACUGCGCCGAAUUCGAGAAGAGGAUCGUCAAGAAACCAGCCGCAAGGAACAUCUACCUCACGCG
This is a long non-coding RNA of Panicum virgatum (switchgrass), 558 nucleotides long. RefSeq lists it as uncharacterized. The transcript is spliced from 3 exons. NCBI's taxonomy places the organism in Eukaryota, Viridiplantae, Streptophyta, Magnoliopsida, Poales, Poaceae. The record is from RefSeq and is a predicted model, not a curated record.